CUAUGCGCCUUGCCAGCCCGCUCAGUCAGAGUUUGAUCCUGGCUCAGGACGAACGCUGGCGGCGUGCCUAACACAUGCAAGUCGAACGGGACCGGGGGCAACUUCGGUUCAGUGGCGGACGGGUGCGUAACACGUGAGGAACAUGACCUUCGGCGGGGGAUAGCCGGCCCAACGGCCGGGUAAUACCGCGUACGACCUUUCGGGGACAUCCCUGGAUGGUGAAAGCAGCAAUGCGCCGAUGGAGUGCCUCGCGGCCUAUCAGCUAGUUGGUGGGGUAACGGCCUACCAAGCAACGACGGGUAGCUGGUCUGAGAGGAUGGCCAGCCACAUUGGGACUGAGACACGGCCCAG
Molecule: ribosomal RNA, 351 nt
Filed under: uncultured bacterium
Lineage: Bacteria
Description: bacterial SSU rRNA
Rfam family: Bacterial small subunit ribosomal RNA
Source: RNAcentral